GAUGUUGGGUUAAGUCCCGCAACGAGCGCAACCCUUUUCCUUAUUUGCCAGCGAGUAAUGUCGGGAACUUUAAGGAUACUGCCAGUGACAAACUGGAGGAAGGCGGGGACGACGUCAAGUCAUCAUGGCCCUUACGGCCAGGGCUACACACGUGCUACAAUGGUCGGUACAAAGGGUUGCUACCUAGCGAUAGGAUGCUAAUCUCAAAAAGCCGAUCGUAGUCCGGAUUGGAGUCUGCAACUCGACUCCAU
RNAcentral lists this ribosomal RNA (251 nucleotides) under Acinetobacter calcoaceticus. RNAcentral describes it as "partial 16S ribosomal RNA". It matches the Rfam family "Bacterial small subunit ribosomal RNA", at positions 1071 to 1321 of the family's 1533-position model. The record is from RNAcentral. Lineage: Bacteria; Pseudomonadati; Pseudomonadota; Gammaproteobacteria; Moraxellales; Moraxellaceae.